This is a long non-coding RNA of Ornithorhynchus anatinus (platypus), 575 nucleotides long. RefSeq lists it as uncharacterized. The transcript has 3 exons. The record is from RefSeq and is a predicted model, not a curated record. Lineage: Eukaryota; Metazoa; Chordata; Mammalia; Monotremata; Ornithorhynchidae.
CUUCUCACCAGGAAGCAGAUAGUGAAUCAUUCUAAAUCUGUUACUAUUAACAUGGUUUAAACUGAAGGAAAGAAGAACUCCAAAAGCCCAUCAGUUCUGAAGAUUUCUACUGAAGUUCUGCCUCUUUUUAGGACCGCAAAGUACCCAACAUGUAGCCGUGACCCUUUUGGUAUGUUUCUGCAGGGGAGAAAGAGAGGUAGUGUGAUGAUGCAUGAAUUAAGAUUGUUACCCAACGGACAGGUGAAAAAUCUAUUCUACAGGAAUCUAAAUUUAUUGGCAUGGUACCAAGAGGGAGAAUGAACACAAACUAGGAUACUAAAAACCAGGUUAACUGAACUAGGGAGGAAGAAAACUUUUAAAAAGUUGCUCUGAAAAACAUAAUUAGACAGCAGAGUUUACUCUUUUUACAGUAAGAAUGUGGACUUAUUUUUCACCAAGAACUAGAUUUAUCUCCUCCAUUGCUUUUUCCCCCUGUCUCUUACCAAGGCCUUUUCUUUUUUUCACUGAAAUAAUUUACACAUAAAUUGAAAUAGCAAGUCCCAUUAUCAAUUCUCUGAUGCUAAGAUAGCAAUAAC